GUCGAGCGAACAGACGAGGAGCUUGCUCCUCUGACGUUAGCGGCGGACGGGUGAGUAACACGUGGAUAACCUACCUAUAAGACUGGGAUAACUUCGGGAAACCGGAGCUAAUACCGGAUAAUAUAUUGAACCGCAUGGUUCAAUAGUGAAAGACGGUUUUGCUGUCACUUAUAGAUGGAUCCGCGCCGCAUUAGCUAGUUGGUAAGGUAACGGCUUACCAAGGCAACGAUGCGUAGCCGACCUGAGAGGGUGAUCGGCCACACUGGAACUGAGACACGGUCCAGACUCCUACGGGAGGCAGCAGUAGGGAAUCUUCCGCAAUGGGCGAAAGCCUGACGGAGCAACGCCGCGUGAGUGAUGAAGGUCUUCGGAUCGUAAAACUCUGUUAUUAGGGAAGAACAAAUGUGUAAGUAACUAUGCACGUCUUGACGGUACCUAAUCAGAAAGCCACGGCUAACUACGUGCCAGCAGCCGCGGUAAUACGUAGGUGGCAAGCGUUAUCCGGAAUUAUUGGGCGUAAAGCGCGCGUAGGCGGUUUUUUAAGUCUGAUGUGAAAGCCCACGGCUCAACCGUGGAGGGUCAUUGGAAACUGGAAAACUUGAGUGCAGAAGAGGAAAGUGGAAUUCCAUGUGUAGCGGUGAAAUGCGCAGAGAUAUGGAGGAACACCAGUGGCGAAGGCGACUUUCUGGUCUGUAACUGACGCUGAUGUGCGAAAGCGUGGGGAUCAAACAGGAUUAGAUACCCUGGUAGUCCACGCCGUAAACGAUGAGUGCUAAGUGUUAGGGGGUUUCCGCCCCUUAGUGCUGCAGCUAACGCAUUAAGCACUCCGCCUGGGGAGUACGACCGCAAGGUUGAAACUCAAAGGAAUUGACGGGGACCCGCACAAGCGGUGGAGCAUGUGGUUUAAUUCGAAGCAACGCGAAGAACCUUACCAAAUCUUGACAUCCUCUGACCCCUCUAGAGAUAGAGUUUUCCCCUUCGGGGGACAGAGUGACAGGUGGUGCAUGGUUGUCGUCAGCUCGUGUCGUGAGAUGUUGGGGUUAAGUCCCGCAACGAGCGCAACCCUUAAGCUUAGUUGCCAUCAUUAAGUUGGGCACUCUAAGUUGACUGCCGGUGACAAACCGGAGGAAAGGUGGGGGAUGACGUCAAAUCAUCAUGCCCCUUAUGAUUUGGG
Molecule: ribosomal RNA, 1174 nt
Filed under: Staphylococcus sp.
Lineage: Bacteria; Bacillati; Bacillota; Bacilli; Caryophanales; Staphylococcaceae
Description: bacterial SSU rRNA
Rfam family: Bacterial small subunit ribosomal RNA
Source: RNAcentral